RNAcentral lists this ribosomal RNA (1040 nucleotides) under Vreelandella aquamarina. RNAcentral's name for it is "bacterial SSU rRNA". It matches the Rfam family "Bacterial small subunit ribosomal RNA", at positions 392 to 1424 of the family's 1533-position model. The record is from RNAcentral. Lineage: Bacteria; Pseudomonadati; Pseudomonadota; Gammaproteobacteria; Oceanospirillales; Halomonadaceae.
CCAUGCCGCGUGUGUGAAGAAGGCCCUCGGGUUGUAAAGCACUUUCAGCGAGGAAGAACGCCUAGCGGUUAAUACCCGCUAGGAAAGACAUCACUCGCAGAAGAAGCACCGGCUAACUCCGUGCCAGCAGCCGCGGUAAUACGGAGGGUGCAAGCGUUAAUCGGAAUUACUGGGCGUAAAGCGCGCGUAGGUGGCUUGAUAAGCCGGUUGUGAAAGCCCCGGGCUCAACCUGGGAACGGCAUCCGGAACUGUCAAGCUAGAGUGCAGGAGAGGAAGGUAGAAUUCCCGGUGUAGCGGUGAAAUGCGUAGAGAUCGGGAGGAAUACCAGUGGCGAAGGCGGCCUUCUGGACUGACACUGACACUGAGGUGCGAAAGCGUGGGUAGCAAACAGGAUUAGAUACCCUGGUAGUCCACGCCGUAAACGAUGUCGACCAGCCGUUGGGUGCCUAGCGCACUUUGUGGCGAAGUUAACGCGAUAAGUCGACCGCCUGGGGAGUACGGCCGCAAGGUUAAAACUCAAAUGAAUUGACGGGGGCCCGCACAAGCGGUGGAGCAUGUGGUUUAAUUCGAUGCAACGCGAAGAACCUUACCUACUCUUGACAUCCUGCGAAUUUGGUAGAGAUACCUUAGUGCCUUCGGGAACGCAGAGACAGGUGCUGCAUGGCUGUCGUCAGCUCGUGUUGUGAAAUGUUGGGUUAAGUCCCGUAACGAGCGCAACCCUUGUCCUUAUUUGCCAGCGCGUAAUGGCGGGAACUCUAAGGAGACUGCCGGUGACAAACCGGAGGAAGGUGGGGACGACGUCAAGUCAUCAUGGCCCUUACGAGUAGGGCUACACACGUGCUACAAUGGUCGGUACAAAGGGUUGCCAACUCGCGAGAGUGAGCCAAUCCCGAAAAGCCGAUCUCAGUCCGGAUCGGAGUCUGCAACUCGACUCCGUGAAGUCGGAAUCGCUAGUAAUCGUGGAUCAGAAUGCCACGGUGAAUACGUUCCCGGGCCUUGUACACACCGCCCGUCACACCAUGGGAGUGGACUGCACCAGA